This 456-nucleotide ribosomal RNA is filed under the name Bacillus sp. EF2C-B619. RNAcentral describes it as "bacterial SSU rRNA". It matches the Rfam family "Bacterial small subunit ribosomal RNA", at positions 1 to 450 of the family's 1533-position model. Lineage: Bacteria; Bacillati; Bacillota; Bacilli; Caryophanales; Bacillaceae. The record is from RNAcentral.
UUAGAGUUUGAUCCUGGCUCAGGAUGAACGCUGGCGGCGUGCCUAAUACAUGCAAGUCGAGCGAAUGGAUUGAGAGCUUGCUCUCAAGAAGUUAGCGGCGGACGGGUGAGUAACACGUGGGUAACCUGCCCAUAAGACUGGGAUAACUCCGGGAAACCGGGGCUAAUACCGGAUAACAUUUUGAACUGCAUGGUUCGAAAUUGAAAGGCGGCUUCGGCUGUCACUUAUGGAUGGACCCGCGUCGCAUUAGCUAGUUGGUGAGGUAACGGCUCACCAAGGCAACGAUGCGUAGCCGACCUGAGAGGGUGAUCGGCCACACUGGGACUGAGACACGGCCCAGACUCCUACGGGAGGCAGCAGUAGGGAAUCUUCCGCAAUGGACGAAAGUCUGACGGAGCAACGCCGCGUGAGUGAUGAAGGCUUUCGGGUCGUAAAACUCUGUUGUUAGGGAAGAAC